GACAGUUACCAUGCCCUUUCGAAAGGAGUCAGGUUUUAAACCUAAUGGCUCUUUCAUGAUUAUAUGAUAGGUGGUGCAUGGCCGUUCUUAGUUCGUGGAGUGAUCUGUCUGCUUAAUUGCGUUUCAAAUUUUUAUUUGAGGACCAGGUUUUGGUUUGGGUAGUGGUCCUACGAUGACUGUGAACUGUCAUGUCUUCGGAUGUGCGACUAUCGGUCUAGGAUCGCAUCUCAGCCCCUGGGACUCUUUUGAACGCAACGGACGUGAUUGCAACCCCUUGUUGAGAUUAGAGGAGUCUCGAUAUUCAUUGGCCAAACUUACCGCUUCGAGCUUGCUCGUGCAGUUUUGUUAGCCGGUGGAUAAACUCGGGGGACUGCUGACUAUAACCAUUUCUCAAAACAGAGGAAGGUUGCGGCAAUAACAGGUCUGUGAUGCCCUCAGAUGUCCCGGGC
This 449-nucleotide ribosomal RNA is filed under the name Globigerinoides ruber ruber. RNAcentral's name for it is "SSU rRNA". It matches the Rfam family "Eukaryotic small subunit ribosomal RNA", at positions 1210 to 1487 of the family's 1831-position model. Lineage: Eukaryota; Foraminifera; Rotaliida; Globigerinidae. The record is from RNAcentral.